Molecule: ribosomal RNA, 235 nt
Filed under: uncultured Staphylococcus sp.
Lineage: Bacteria; Bacillati; Bacillota; Bacilli; Caryophanales; Staphylococcaceae
Description: partial 16S ribosomal RNA
Rfam family: Bacterial small subunit ribosomal RNA
Source: RNAcentral
GGUGAGUAACACGUGGAUAACCUACCUAUAAGACUGGGAUAACUUCGGGAAACCGGAGCUAAUACCGGAUAAUAUAUUGAACCGCAUGGUUCAAUAGUGAAAGACGGUUUUGCUGUCACUUAUAGAUGGAUCCGCGCCGCAUUAGCUAGUUGGUAAGGUAACGGCUUACCAAGGCGACGAUGCGUAGCCGACCUGAGAGGGUGAUCGGCCACACUGGAACUGAGACACGGUCCAG